RNAcentral lists this ribosomal RNA (500 nucleotides) under uncultured bacterium. RNAcentral describes it as "partial 16S ribosomal RNA". It matches the Rfam family "Bacterial small subunit ribosomal RNA", at positions 29 to 523 of the family's 1533-position model. The record is from RNAcentral.
AUUGAACGCUGGCGGCAUGCCUUACACAUGCAAGUCGAACGGCAGCACGGGGGCAACCCUGGUGGCGAGUGGCGAACGGGUGAGUAAUGCAUCGGAACGUGCCCAGUAGUGGGGGAUAACCAGUCGAAAGACUGGCUAAUACCGCAUACGACCCAAGGGUGAAAGCGGGGGACCGUAAGGCCUCGCGCUAUUGGAGCGGCCGAUGUCUGAUUAGCUAGUUGGCGGGGUAAGAGCCCACCAAGGCGACGAGCAGUAGCUGGUCUGAGAGGACGACCAGCCACACUGGGACUGAGACACGGCCCAGACUCCUGCGGGAGGCAGCAGUGGGGAAUUUUGGACAAUGGGCGCAAGCCUGAUCCAGCCAUGCCGCGUGCGGGAAGAAGGCCUUCGGGUUGUAAACCGCUUUUGGCAGGAACGAAACGGCGCAGGCCAAUACCUUGCGCUAAUGACGGUACCUGCAGAAUAAGCACCGGCUAACUACGUGCCAGCCGCCGCCGUAA